This is a long non-coding RNA of Sinocyclocheilus rhinocerous, 304 nucleotides long. RefSeq lists it as uncharacterized. The transcript is spliced from 3 exons. The record is from RefSeq and is a predicted model, not a curated record. NCBI's taxonomy places the organism in Eukaryota, Metazoa, Chordata, Actinopteri, Cypriniformes, Cyprinidae.
GUCAAAGAAGUAAAACAACAGCAACACUCGGUUCAAGAGCAAUCCAACAUCCUUCAUGCAGGAUUUCAUGAUCCCUUGGCGUCAAAGAUGUACCGUAUUCACACCUGCUUCCUAAACAUGGAUUUUAGGCGGGGGAGGGAGUAGCGCAUGAAAAGCCAGCAGUGUUCCUCAGCCUGGCUUUUUCACUCUGUUAAAUGCACAUAAAGAUGCACAGUGUUGGGUAAGAGAGAGGACCUUCGUCCACGUCCGACUAUUGACUGCUUUAGGAUGUGUCUUGAGGGAUCUUUUCCGGAGCUUGUUGAUU